RNAcentral lists this small nuclear RNA (106 nucleotides) under Bison bison bison. Lineage: Eukaryota; Metazoa; Chordata; Mammalia; Artiodactyla; Bovidae. The record is from RNAcentral.
GUGCUCACUUUGGCAGCUCACAGCCUAAAGUCUGAAGGAGACAGACAUGAUUAGCAUGGCCCUGUGCAAGGAUGCCAUGUCGAUUUGUGAAGCGUUCUAUAUUUAA